RNAcentral lists this ribosomal RNA (253 nucleotides) under uncultured bacterium. Its description in RNAcentral is "partial 16S ribosomal RNA". It matches the Rfam family "Bacterial small subunit ribosomal RNA", at positions 524 to 776 of the family's 1533-position model. The record is from RNAcentral.
GACAGAGGGUGCAAACGUUGUUCGGAUUUACUGGGCGUAAAGCGCGUGUAGGCGGCUUCGCAAGUUGGAUGUGAAAGCCCACGGCUCAACCGUGGAAGCGCGUCCAAAACUGCGUCGCUAGAGUCUCGGAGAGGAAGGUGGAAUGCUUGGUGUAGAGGUGAAAUUCGUAGAUAUCAAGCAGAACACCUGCGGCGAAGGCGGCCUUCUGGACGAUGACUGACGCUGAGACGCGAAAGCGUGGGGAGCAAACAGG